CCACGCCGUAAACGAUGUCAACUAGCCGUUGGGAGUCUUGAACUCUUAGUGGCGCAGCUAACGCAUUAAGUUGACCGCCUGGGGAGUACGGCCGCAAGGUUAAAACUCAAAUGAAUUGACGGGGGCCCGCACAAGCGGUGGAGCAUGUGGUUUAAUUCGAUGCAACGCGAAGAACCUUACCUACUCUUGACAUCCAGAGAACUUUCCAGAGAUGGAUUGGUGCCUUCGGGAACUCUGAGACAGGUGCUGCAUGGCUGU
Molecule: ribosomal RNA, 258 nt
Filed under: uncultured bacterium
Lineage: Bacteria
Description: partial 16S ribosomal RNA
Rfam family: Bacterial small subunit ribosomal RNA
Source: RNAcentral